CCCACCCCAUCCACCGCGCGCUUGGGCGUGACGUCACCUCUGCCUGGGCCACCUCCGUUCUCUGUUCAAGUACAAUCCUAAUUUGGGCAAAGCCACGCUCAGUGGCUGGCGGCUCAUUAACAUAAUGUCUUCGUGAAAGCCGUCGCGAGUUUAUUGCGACGAGUUCGGCACCCACGCCCCAUCCCUCCACGUAGGGGCUGGGCUCAUUAACAUAAUUUAUUUAAGUCAAGACCCGCUCGUUGUGGUAAAGGAGUGUCUUGUACCGAUCAAGUGACGUCAAAAAACGAAAGAGUAAUCCCUGCAAUCACGUAAGCGCCAAAUCAAGUUUGACGUCAUGUCACCACCUGCUGCCGCGUGACCUCGCGAGGUAAAUGAGGCUGCCGCUCCGCCCGUGCACUGAAAUUCGAGGCCACGCCCUCGUUGAGCUGCUAUACCACUCUUGUUUUCAGAAGCGACCUGCCCACAACAACAACAAGCUGUCGCUUCCUCUGCAGAAUUGGUCUGAUGGAGCAAAGGCACUCGGCGCGGCUCGGUGCAAAAAGGCAACAAUGCAACCAGCGUGCAAACAGCACGGAUCGUACUGAACAUUUGACACAGCACCAGAGAACUCACACAGGAGAGAAACCCUUCAAGUGCAGCGUGUGUGGGAAGGCAUUUGCACGUUCAUCUACUCUUGUAGAACACCAGAAAAC
Petromyzon marinus (sea lamprey) is the source of this 692-nucleotide non-coding RNA. The record is from RefSeq and is a predicted model, not a curated record. NCBI's taxonomy places the organism in Eukaryota, Metazoa, Chordata, Hyperoartia, Petromyzontiformes, Petromyzontidae.